RNAcentral lists this long non-coding RNA (1421 nucleotides) under Panax ginseng (ginseng). RNAcentral's name for it is "long non-coding RNA (PGIN_LNC006686)". The record is from RNAcentral. Lineage: Eukaryota; Viridiplantae; Streptophyta; Magnoliopsida; Apiales; Araliaceae.
UAGAAAUGAAUUAAUAUGUACUUGGAGGAAUAUCAAGAAUAAGGUAUUACGAUACCUGUAAAUUCGAUGUGAACUGAAUAGUCUAAGAAAUGUUAUAUAAGUACAUAUGGAAAUUUUAUUAUUGGAGAUAAGAUUUCACAGGAAGAGAUGCUAUGUGCUAUAUAUAUAUAUAUUUAUUUUAGCAAGAGGAAUGAUGAAUCAAGUUAAUGAUCAAGAUAAAACUAUGUUAGUAAUUAACAUAGCUUGAGUGUUGGCCUUGAUUGGCAAAUAAGAAUUUAAAUAAGUAUAAAGUCGUUAGUUAAUACGAUUAGCAAUGAGAAGUGAAAUAUGUUAUGAUUAUACGAAUUAUGUGUAUGAUUAAAUAAAUAUACAUUAUAUAAUGUGAAUACAUUUAUUUUGUAUAUAAAAGUGAAGUAAGAAUUAAGUUAUGUAACCUAAUAUAUAUAUUAGGCGUGAUAAUUAAAUAACCUAAAUGGUUAUCGUUAUUUAGUGGUCCUAAUAUUUUAUUUUUAUAUUAGUGACCUAAUUUAAGAGAAUUGUGGAACAUGUCACAAUUUAUUAAAUUAUUUUGUUCGAAUAGGUGAGUAAAGGAAUAUGAAGAUUAUGUGAUGGUUUAUAUUGUUUAUUAUAUAAACAAAUAAAAGAAACUAAUGUGAUCCUAAUUAUAUAUUAGGAAUGAAGAAUUUAAUAACUUAAGGGUUAUGAGAUGAGAAAAUUAUGGUAUUUAGAAUAUAUACCAAUUAUGAGAGAUUUAUUUUAUACAUCUCAGUUAAUUAAUUUUAUAGCCUAAUUAUAGCAAGUCUAAUUAGAUUAAGAUAUUAAAUGUACUUAAGUAAGAAUUUUUAUUUCAUUUGAGUGCAUGUAAACUCUAAUUUAAUGAUAAGGGUAGAAUGGAAUAGAAUUAGAAGUAAUGGGCUAUAAUAAUAUCAUAGCCCAAUUAAUUUAUAGAGAGUCCAAGAGAAAUAUAUUUAAUGGACUAAGGAAGUUAUAUUAUAUAAGCAAGCCCAAUUAAUUAAUUAAGUAUGAGACUUGUAGAUAAUAUGAUUUAAGGGCGAUUAAAUUAAUAAUCUAGCCUAGCAUAUUAUGUAUGGGACAAGAAUUAUAAAGGCCCAAUCUAAUUUGUAGAGGAAGCCUAAUUUUAUUUUUGUUAGUAAGUAAUCAAGUAAAAUGGCUAGCUCAAUGGAAUUAAUUAUUGAGAGCCCAAGCUAAGCCCACUUGUGGGAGAAUAAUAAAUUAUAUUAAGUUAAGAGAUAUAUUUUUAUUAUCUCAGGUUAUUAAUUUUAUAACUUAAUUAAAAUAAGCUUAAUUGGGUUAUAGAAUUUAUUGUAGUAGAGUGAUGAUUUAAAUUCUAAUUAUUUGGAAUGAUACCCUAAUUAAAUAUUUAGGGUGGGUAAAGAUAGAAAGAAUUGGUCUAUGUAUAU